This 410-nucleotide long non-coding RNA is filed under the name Monodelphis domestica (gray short-tailed opossum). RNAcentral's name for it is "lncRNA (ENSMODG00000041701.1)". The record is from RNAcentral. Lineage: Eukaryota; Metazoa; Chordata; Mammalia; Didelphimorphia; Didelphidae.
CCCUCAACUCUAUGUCUGGUACUCUAUCCACUACAAUACCUAGCUACCCCACUUUGAUUUCAGAUUGCUGUUGAGAAGAUACUGCAAGUUGCUUAACUCUGCCUCAGUUUCCUCACCUGUAAAAUGAACUGGAGAAGGAAAUGAUCCAGCUCAUGUGCAAGUCAAGACAUCACUCUCAGACCAUUGGUCCUUUCUGAAAAUGAAGAAAGAAUAACAAAGCAACGAGAAGUUAAGUGACUUGCCCAGGGUCACACAACUUAAGAAAGUCAUGGAGAAAAAGUUAAUAAUGCAGAUUAAAUCCACAAUCCUGUAAAGAGACCACAUAUAAUGAAUUCAAAUACCACAAAAUAGUUUUCUUAUACCCCUCCCUACAUCACAUACAUACCUGCCUAUCCUGAAUUUGCAGCAUG